CAUCGUGAGGUGGAAUCUGAAGAAAGCCGGAAUUUGGGAGUUGAAAGGUCUCCCAAUGGGCAAAGCUCUGGCCUGACGAACAGAAAUCGCAUAUAAGGCCGCAGAGCAAGGGUAAGACUGCAAAUCAAGUUAAAGCCCAAUCACUGCACGGAUUGCUUGGGGAAAUGCGGCGGGUAAAGAGGGAAAGAACG
RNAcentral lists this non-coding RNA (191 nucleotides) under human gut metagenome. The record is from RNAcentral. RNAcentral also lists the same sequence under 1 other name.